CUAGAAUCAGCACCCAUUUUAUUCCUUUCUCAUAGCUACCACAUGAAUUCUUUUAUCUCAUUUCUUCAUUUAUAAGUGGAGAUAGUAAUAGAAAAUCCUCCACUAGCAUCGGUAAGAUAUGACUAGUAAUAGUAUAGACCUCCGCGGAUUGUUAUGGUGAUGAAGGAGACAAGACAGUGAGAGUGAGCCUGAGGUGCUUACUAUAGAACCUGACAAAUAUCCCCUAGUAAGGGAACCAGAAGUCUCAGGGCUUUUCUGCCCAGUGUGUAGCCUUUGGCAGCACGUGGCUAUUGAGCAUGCAACGUGUGUCUAGCCUGAAUUGGAAUGUGCUUGCUCUAGGUGUAAAAUAUAUGCUGGAUUUUGAAGAUUUGUAGAAAACAAAGUAAAAUAUCUCAAUUUUUAAUAUUUAUUACAUGUUGGAAUGAUAAUAUUUUGGCUAUAUUGGGUUAAAGAAAAUCCAUUAUUAAAAUUAAUUUCACAUGUUUCACUUUAAUGUUUUAAUGUGGUCACUAGAAAAUUUAAAAUAAGAUACAGUUAUGCAUCCCAUAGCGACAGGGACACGUUCUGAGAAAUGCAUUGUUAGGCGUUUUCCUCAUUGUGUGAACAUCAUAGGGUACUUAUGCAAACCUAGUUGGUAUAGCCUACUGCACAUCUAGGCUAUAUGGGAUAGCCUAUUGCUCCUAGGUUCCAAAUCUGUACAGCAUGUUACUGUACUGAAUACUAUAGGCGGCUGUAACACAUGGUGUUGUGUAUCUAAACAUAGAAAAGGUAUGGUAAAAAUAUGGUAUAAAAUGGUAUACCUGUGUAGGGCACUUACCAUGACUGGAGCUUGCAGGACUGGGAGGUGCUUUGGGUGAGUCAGUGAGUGAGUGGUGAGUGAAUGUGAAGGCCUGGGACAUUCUUGUACACUACCAUAGACUUUGUAAACACUGUGCACUUAGGCUACACUAAAUUUAUUUUUAAGAUUUUUCUUUCUUCAAUAAUAAAUUAACAUUAGCUAACUGUAACAUUUUUACUUUAUAAACUUUUAAUUUAAAAAAGCUUUUGGUUGGGCACAGUGGCUCAUGCCUGUAAUCCCAGCACUUUAGGCGGCCAAGGCAGGCGGAUCACGAGGUCAGGAGUUAGAGACCAGCCUGACCAACAUGGUGAAACCCCUUCGCUACUAAAAAUACAAAAAUUAGCCAGGCUUGGUGGUGCACACCUGUAAUCCCAGCUACUCAGGAGGCUGAGGCAGGAGAAUCGCUUGAACCUGGGAGACGGAGGUUGCAGUGAGCCGAGAUCGCGCCACUGCACUCCAGCCUGGGCGACAGAGCGAGACUGCGUCUCAAAACAAAAAACAAACAAACAAAAAAACCUUUGAACUUAUUUGUAAUAACAUAGCUUAAAACACAAACACAUUGUACAGCUGUACAAAAGUAUUUUCUUUAUAUUGUUAUAAGCUUUUUUUCUAUUUUUAAAAAGUGUUUUUUUAGCUUUUUAAACUUUUUUUUUUUUGUUAAAAACUAAGACACAGACACACUCAUUAGCCUUGGCCUACACAGGGUCAGGACCAUCACUAUGUUCCACCUCCACAUCUUGUUCCUCUGGGAAGUCUUCAGGGGCAGUAAAACACAUGGAGCUGUCAUCUCCUGUGAUAAUAAUUCCUCUUUGGGGAAUACCUCCUGAAGGGCCUGCAUAAGGCUGUUUUACAGUUAACUUUUUUUUUUUCCUAGUAAGAAGGAGUAACACUCUAAAGUAAAGAUGAAAAGUAUAGUAUAGUAAAUACAUAAACCAGUAACAUGGUCAUUUAUUAUCAUUAUCAAGUAUUAUGUACUGUACAUGAUUGUGUGUGCUAGACUUUUAUAUUACUGGCAGUGCAGUAGGCUUGUUUAUUAUACCAGCAUCACCACAAACACACAAGUAAUUCAUUGCACUCGGACCUUAGGAUAACCACAACAUCACUAGGCAAUAGCAAUUUUUCAGCUCCAUUAUAAUCUUAUGGGAUCACCUACAUAUAUGUUGUCCGUCGUUGACUGAGACACCCAUGAUUGAAUGUGGUUCAUAUUAUCUUUCUCUCAAACAGUGGAUGUGGUUUGGGGUUUUCUUUUUUUUUUUUUUUUUUUUUUUUUUUUUUGAGAUGGAGUCUUGCUCUGUCACGCAGGCUGGAGUGCAGUGACGCAAUCUGGGCUUACUGCAAGCUCCGCCACUCGGGUUCACGCCAUUCUCCUGCCUCAGCCUCCCAAGUAGCUGGGACUACAGGCACCCACCACCACGCCCGGCUAAUUUUUGGUGUUUUUAGUAGAGACGGGGUUUCACUGUGUUAGCCAGGAUGGUCUCGAUCUCCUGACCUCAUGAUCCGCCCACCUUGGCCUCCCAAAGUGCUGGGAUUACAGGCAUGAGCCACCGUGCCCAGCCGCGUGUGGUUUUCAAUUGUUACCAGCAAUCAUGACCUUUCAUGGACUCCACAGCAUUAGAAGAACAACGUUUAUGGCCUUCAAGAACUUUCAGGGUGAAGCUAUUUCUCUAGGAUCAGCUUUUCAUGUGGCAGUAGCCUUGGGCCUGUCACAGCCCUGUAUCUCAUCUUCUCACCAACCCUGGUUUAGUUUUCAACAGACAGAAAUUUGAGCCAGAAGAAAUGGAUGUCACUACACAGUUCACCCCUGACAUCUGUGAUAGUGUAUGUUAUCACUGACAUGUUCUCAUUUAAACUAUGUUAUAAGAGCAAGGAGAAAGAAGUAAGAAAAAUUUGCUAUCAUGUAGAAAAUUCUGGGGAACCUCAAAUAACUCACUUUAUAUUUAGCAGGAGUUUAUGCUUCAGAGAUCAUCUGUCCCUGCAAUAGACAUUUUAUCAUGGUAAGGGUGUGGUCAGCAAUAGAAAACUAUGAUCUCAGCAGAAGUCCCUCUACCACCCCAUAGCUUAGUAAUUUUCUUACCAACAGCUAGCUGAGGUAGUGUGCAUCCCAGACGCUCCGCAAUUGGGGAAAGGUCUUUUAGCUUGUUUUGCUGUUUUCUCCCUUCUUCACUUACAAUUCUUUCUUUCAACCACUGGUAGCACUGGGGAAAAGCAUAACAUUGAAAUGUUAAUGUCUGGUAAAGAUCUGAUGUCAAAGAAUGGUAAUUCAAUAAAAUAUGUGAACCUCA
Molecule: long non-coding RNA, 3120 nt
Filed under: Homo sapiens (human)
Lineage: Eukaryota; Metazoa; Chordata; Mammalia; Primates; Hominidae
Description: HSALNT0315561
Source: RNAcentral